GACGGAGGAUGCAAGUGUUAUCCGGAAUCACUGGGCGUAAAGCGUCCGCAGGUGGCUGUUCAAGUCUGCUGUCAAAGCGCAGAGCUUAACUCUGUACAGGCGGUGGAAACUGAAGAGCUAGAGUAUGGUAGGGGUAGAGGGAAUUCCCGGUGUAGCGGUGAAAUGCGUAGAUAUCGGGAAGAACACCAGUGGCGAAAGCGCUCUACUGGGCCAUAACUGACACUGAGGGACGAAAGCUAGGGGAGCGAAAGGG
This 253-nucleotide ribosomal RNA is filed under the name uncultured bacterium. RNAcentral's name for it is "partial 16S ribosomal RNA". It matches the Rfam family "Bacterial small subunit ribosomal RNA", at positions 524 to 776 of the family's 1533-position model. The record is from RNAcentral.